UACGGAGGGUCCAAGCGUUAUCAGGAUUUAUUGGGUUUAAAGGGUGCACAGGCGGAAGAUUAAGUCGGUGGUGAAAUUUUGCAGCUCAACUGUAAAAGUGCCAUUGAUACUGGUUUUCUUGAGUGUGGAUGAAGUAGGCGGAAUUUGUGGUGUAGCGGUGAAAUGCAUAGAUAUCACGAGGAACUCCGAUUGCGCAGGCAGCUUACUAAACCAUAACUGACGCUCAGGCACGAAGGCGUGGAGAUCAAACAGGAUUAGA
RNAcentral lists this ribosomal RNA (259 nucleotides) under uncultured prokaryote. RNAcentral describes it as "partial 16S ribosomal RNA". It matches the Rfam family "Bacterial small subunit ribosomal RNA", at positions 524 to 782 of the family's 1533-position model. The record is from RNAcentral.